This is a long non-coding RNA of Pan troglodytes (chimpanzee), 513 nucleotides long. RefSeq lists it as uncharacterized. The transcript has 3 exons. The record is from RefSeq and is a predicted model, not a curated record. NCBI's taxonomy places the organism in Eukaryota, Metazoa, Chordata, Mammalia, Primates, Hominidae.
CCUAAACGGUGCACUUUUCUCCCUCACUGAUAUCUUGAGGACCCAGCAGCAACCCCAAUAAGAAUGUUUUAUAUCCCUGAAAGAUUCUCCCGAAAACUUAAGGGAAUGAAUAACUCCUCCUUCCACAGGCCUAGUCCAAAGGCACAAAGCCCCUUGCACCAGCAGCGUGCGUCAGCAAGAGAGUGGAAGCAGGAACAGUUGGAGGGAAGACACAUACCCCCUGAAGAUCCAGAGGGAGGCCAUCUGGGUACAGCAGCUGGACAAAAGAAGCUCCUCAGCCUCCAGUCGCCUGUCUGUGCAUGCCCCUCGGUCACUGAUCUCACCUACCAGUGAGAUUAUCUGAACAAAUCACCACCUUCAUCUUGAGAAUGUAUCUUCAAAGGCAUUAGGAUAGACCCUCUGAAGGAAAUAGACUGCUCCUGCAGGACCCAGGAGACACCCUAAAUACUCACUCAAAGUAUGUGGAAGACGAAACAGUCAAAAGAAAAAUUUAAAGUCAUUGAAAUUGAAGAC